AUCAUUACCGAGUUAUACUCCAAACCCUUUGUGAACCUUACCAUUGUUAUGUUGCCUCGGCGGGGUUAGCCCCCAAAGCUUCUCCCGCCGGCAGCACUAAAUUCUUAAUUUUAUAGCGGAUUACACUUCUGAAUACAAUACAAAACAAAUAAAAACUUUCAACAACGGAUCUCUUGGUUCUGGCAUCGAUGAAGAACGCAGCGAAAUGCGAUAAGUAAUGUGAAUUGCAGAAUUCAGUGAAUCAUCGAAUCUUUGAACGCACAUUGCGCCCGGCAGUAAUCUGCCGGGCAUGCCUGUCCGAGCGUCAUUUCAACCCUCGAGCCUAAGUUUUUUAAACCAAAGGAUCGGUGUUGGGGCGCUACAGCGGUUCUUCGGAGCUGCUGUAGGCCCUGAAAUACAGUGGCGGUCCCGCCGCGGCGCCUUCUGCGUAGUAAACUUACACAUCGCAUUAGGUCCCGGCGAAGGCCAGCCGUCAAACCCUCUAUUUUUAUGGU
RNAcentral lists this ribosomal RNA (494 nucleotides) under Petriella guttulata. RNAcentral's name for it is "eukaryotic LSU rRNA". The stretch from base 154 to 307 matches the Rfam family "5.8S ribosomal RNA". Lineage: Eukaryota; Fungi; Ascomycota; Sordariomycetes; Microascales; Microascaceae. The record is from RNAcentral.